Molecule: ribosomal RNA, 468 nt
Filed under: uncultured bacterium
Lineage: Bacteria
Description: partial 16S ribosomal RNA
Rfam family: Bacterial small subunit ribosomal RNA
Source: RNAcentral
GACGAACGCUGGCGGCGUGCUUAACACAUGCAAGUCGAACGGAAAGGCCCUGCUUUUGUGGGGUGCUCGAGUGGCGAACGGGUGAGUAACACGUGAUUAACCUGCCCUUGACUUUGGGAUAACUUCAGGAAACUGGGGCUAAUACCGGAUAGGAGCUCCUGCUGCAUGGUGGGGGUUGGAAAGUUUCGGCGGUUGGGGAUGGACUCGCGGCUUAUCAGCUUGUUGGUGGGGUAGUGGCUUACCAAGGCUUUGACGGGUAGCCGGCCUGAGAGGGUGACCGGCCACAUUGGGACUGAGAUACGGACCAGACUCCUACGGGAGGCAGCAGUGGGGAAUAUUGCACAAUGGGCGGAAGCCUGAUGCAGAAACGCCGCGUGCGGGAUGACGGCCUUCGGGUUGUAAACCGCUUUAGCCUGUGACGAAGCGUGAGUGACGGUAAUGGGUAAAGAAGCACCGGCUAACUACGUG